RNAcentral lists this ribosomal RNA (502 nucleotides) under uncultured Magnetococcus sp. RNAcentral's name for it is "bacterial SSU rRNA". It matches the Rfam family "Bacterial small subunit ribosomal RNA", at positions 82 to 587 of the family's 1533-position model. The record is from RNAcentral. Lineage: Bacteria; Pseudomonadati; Pseudomonadota; Magnetococcia; Magnetococcales; Magnetococcaceae.
CAAGAUGAGUAAAGUGGCGCAAGGGUGAGUAACACGUGAGCAACCUACCCCUCAGUUGGGGAUAACCAGCCGAAAGGUUGGCUAAUACCGAAUGGCGGCGCGGGACUUCGGUUUUCGCGUCUAAAGAUGGCCUCUAUUUAUAAGCUAUCGCUAAGGGAUGGGCUCGCGCUGCAUUAGCUGGUUGGUGAGGUAACGGCUCACCAAGGCUACGAUGCAUAGCUGGUCUGAGAGGACGACCAGUCACACUGGAACUGAGACACGGCCCAGACUCCUACGGGAGGCAGCAGUGGGGAAUAUUGCGCAAUGGGGGAAACCCUGACGCAGCGAUGCCGCGUGGGUGAAGAAGGCCUUCGGGUUGUAAAGCCCUUUCAGUGGGGAAGAUAGUGACGGUACCCACAGAAGAAGCUCCGGCUAACUCCGUGCCAGCAGCCGCGGUAAUACGGAGGGGGCGAGCGUUGUUCGGAAUUACUGGGCGUAAAGGGCGCGUAGGCGGUGCAGCAAG